Molecule: non-coding RNA, 85 nt
Organism: Xylaria digitata
Lineage: Eukaryota; Fungi; Ascomycota; Sordariomycetes; Xylariales; Xylariaceae
Source: the annotation of a GenBank genome assembly
UCUCGAUUUGUCUAGUGGUCAGGAUACCUGCUUGCCAUUUCAUGAUAAUUCGCAGGUGGCCGGGAUUCGAUUCCCUGAUCGAGAG